AUGGUUAAGUUAGAAAGGGCGCACGGUGGAUGCCUUGGCACUAGGAGCCGAAGAAGGACGGCACUAACACCGAUAUGCUCCGGGGAGCUGUAAGUGAGCUUUGAUCCGGAGAUUUCCGAAUGGGGGAACCCACCGCCUUUAAUGGGGCGGUAUCCAUG
RNAcentral lists this ribosomal RNA (158 nucleotides) under Planococcus glaciei. RNAcentral's name for it is "Planomicrobium glaciei partial 23S ribosomal RNA". It matches the Rfam family "Bacterial large subunit ribosomal RNA", at positions 1 to 156 of the family's 2925-position model. Lineage: Bacteria; Bacillati; Bacillota; Bacilli; Caryophanales; Caryophanaceae. The record is from RNAcentral.